CAGUCGCCGCGGUAAUACGAAGGGGGCUAGCGUUGCUCGGAAUGACUGGGCGUAAAGGGUGCGUAGGCGGUUUGGCAAGUCUUGCGUGAAAUCUAUGGGCUCAACCCAUAGCCUGCACGAGAAACUACCGGGCUUGAGUGAUGGAGAGGUGAGUGGAACUUCCGGUGGAUCGGUGAAAUGCGUUGAGAUCGGAAGGAACGCCCGUGGCGAAAGCGAGGCCCUGGACCCUUUCUGACGCUGAGACGCGAAAGCCAGGGGAGCGAACGGGAUUAGAUACCCCUGUAGUCCCUGUCUCUUAUAC
Molecule: ribosomal RNA, 301 nt
Filed under: uncultured bacterium
Lineage: Bacteria
Description: partial 16S ribosomal RNA
Rfam family: Bacterial small subunit ribosomal RNA
Source: RNAcentral